CAUGCCUAACUAUAAGAAUUAUUUGAAAUUUGUUUACUGAAUAUUUAUGAAACACUUGCCACUGGAUAUCACAGUAAUCAUGUCAAAUGAAUGAUACAUUUUGUAUAUUAUGAUGUGUUUCUAUGAAUUGCAGAAACUUUAUACACCAUUUUAAUCAUCAACUGCCAACUUUUGAUAUGUUAUUUGUCCUUGAAUUAAGAAAAGGUUGGGCGAACAACUUCAUUAUUUUAGAUAUACUCUGCAUACAUGUACAGUUCCUUUUGUAAAUCCAAACUUAUAUUAAAUUUUCUUUUAUUAAUUAAUGUGGGAAAUGUGAUUUAUCAAGUUAAAGCAGUUGAUAAGAAAUUUGAAAGUAUUUUAAAUUUAAUCAGUAUCUUAUGUUCCUGUAAGCCAUUGAAUAAAAUUUGGUUCAAGAUGUGUAUUGAUAUCAGAUCUCGAGUUGGCAGGUCUGAAAAUUGUUACUGUUUGUAUUUCAUGUAUUUAACUUCCUUAGAUCUAAAAUUUGUUUGGAUUAAAGAACUAUUUAGUUACCUCACUUUUAAUUAGUCUUAUCUGAACUUUUUGAAAUCAAUGUUUAUUGUUGAAUUGUCUUUCAGAAAUUGUCUACCACUACUUGACGUGAGAGGGCCAAGGUUCCUCACUAGAACAUUAGGACCGGUUCUCUUAUGUCUGAGGGAUUGUCCUAUUAAAAAGGUCUGACAUUCCAGCUAGAUUUAUACCUGAUAAUGGGAGAAAUCACCAGAAACUAUUUCCUGAGGAACAUGUAUAAACUAGUGAAUUGAUGGUUUAACUACCAAGAUGUAAUGAGAGAUGUCAAGUAAUGAACAAAAAGAAGUAACAUGAAGUUAGACAAUACAACUUGAGGUGUCAGAAUUUGUGCAAUUGUUAUUUGCAGAUAUAUAGCUGGAUUUUGUCAAAAUGUGAAGUGUAACACUGGGAUCAAAUAUGUUAUUUUUUCUAAAAAAUGAUGAAUUUGAGAAUUAAAUUUUCAUAUCUA
Mytilus californianus (California mussel) is the source of this 997-nucleotide long non-coding RNA. RefSeq lists it as uncharacterized. The record is from RefSeq and is a predicted model, not a curated record. NCBI's taxonomy places the organism in Eukaryota, Metazoa, Mollusca, Bivalvia, Mytilida, Mytilidae. The transcript is spliced from 2 exons.